RNAcentral lists this ribosomal RNA (253 nucleotides) under uncultured bacterium. RNAcentral describes it as "partial 16S ribosomal RNA". It matches the Rfam family "Bacterial small subunit ribosomal RNA", at positions 524 to 776 of the family's 1533-position model. The record is from RNAcentral.
UACGAAGGGGGCUAGCGUUGUUCGGAAUUACUGGGCGUAAAGCGCGCGCAGGCGGUUUUCCAAGUCAGUGGUGAAAGCCCGGAGCUCAACUUCGGAACUGCCUUUGAUACAGCACGUCUUGAGUCCGAUAGAGGUGGGUGGAAUUCCUAGUGUAGAGGUGAAAUUCGUAGAUAUUAGGAAGAACACCGGUGGCGAAGGCGGCCCACUGGAUCGGUACUGACGCUGAGGUGCGAAAGCGUGGGGAGCAAACAGG